Long non-coding RNA from Myotis davidii, 887 nucleotides. RefSeq lists it as uncharacterized. The transcript is spliced from 3 exons. The record is from RefSeq and is a predicted model, not a curated record. Lineage: Eukaryota; Metazoa; Chordata; Mammalia; Chiroptera; Vespertilionidae.
UUUCCCUCCGGGGCCUUAGCUUACUGCACGCCUUUGCCACCGCCGGCGCCCGGGCCUCCCCUUGAACCUGCUGCUGCCCUCUCUCUGGCCGAGUCCUGGGAGAACGCGCGGGAGCCGCUGGUCUGACCUUGAGUCCGACCGGCAGUCACUUUUCCCGGGAGGUGCGUUGCGGGUCAGCAGAGGCUCGCCAGGGCUGAGUGACGAGUGAGCCCCUCCGGAGCGCCCCCCGUGCGGCGGGGCGGGCCGGUCCUGCCCUGCUUUUGUGUUUUUUAACACCCUGUUGCAGCAGCGAAGGAAAGUGAGGCUAAGGGACUCGGUGGCCGCCUCUGGAAUCCGGGUGCUGGAGAGCUGCUCAUGGAUUUUCCAGACUGAAUGGUUUAAGGGUGUGCGGGGUACGUUUAUUCCGAUGCUUCUGGACGGCCGACGUUAUCUCCUCUGGAGAGAACCAGCCCGUCUUGGGGCUUCAGAGGCCCCGAUUGAGGCGCAGUGAUGAGAGGAUGUGGUGGUCCGCUCUGAUGUCAAUCUUGAGGGCUAGUGCCCAGAAGUGCAUCCUGGAUGAAUAUUUGUGAAAUGAGCAAGUAAAGGCAAAGGUAUGGAUGAAGUCACUCAGGCAAAAUGUAUAAGGGAAAGUUAUUGUGCUUACACAGAGAAAGUAUCUGCAAGGUGCACUUAGUAUGAAAACCUACAAUUUGUUGGACCCUAUAACCUACCAGCAAAGAGCCCCAUCUACCCCUUGCUUCACCUAUUUGCCUUGGAUGGAAAAGGCCCUGGGCCUGCAGCUACUUGGGAUCCCAGGUGCACAACAGUUCUACUUCAUUCCUUGAAUCAGGCCCAAACAAUCUCACUCUGUUGGAAAAACAGCAGAGACCUAGGUCUAAGUGGACCAA